This 484-nucleotide ribosomal RNA is filed under the name Riemerella anatipestifer. RNAcentral's name for it is "bacterial SSU rRNA". It matches the Rfam family "Bacterial small subunit ribosomal RNA", at positions 41 to 525 of the family's 1533-position model. The record is from RNAcentral. Lineage: Bacteria; Pseudomonadati; Bacteroidota; Flavobacteriia; Flavobacteriales; Weeksellaceae.
GGGAGGCCUAUCACAUGCAAGCCGAGCGGUAGAGUAUCUUCGGAUACUUGAGAGCGGCGUACGGGUGCGGAACACGUGUGCAACCUGCCUUUAUCUGAGGGAUAGCCUUUCGAAAGGAAGAUUAAUACCUCAUAACAUACUGAUUGGCAUCAAUUAGUAUUGAAAGCUCCGGCGGAUAGAGAUGGGCACGCGCAAGAUUAGAUAGUUGGUGAGGUAACGGCUCACCAAGUCAAUGAUCUUUAGGGGGCCUGAGAGGGUGAUCCCCCACACUGGUACUGAGACACGGACCAGACUCCUACGGGAGGCAGCAGUGAGGAAUAUUGGACAAUGGGUGGAAGCCUGAUCCAGCCAUCCCGCGUGAAGGACGACGGCCCUAUGGGUUGUAAACUUCUUUUGUACAGGGAUAAACCUACUCUCGUGAGGGUAGCUGAAGGUACUGUACGAAUAAGCACCGGCUAACUCCGUGCCAGCCGCCGCGGUAAUU